CAAAAAUCAAUUACAAGCCAAUUCCAUAAAGACAGUCGCAACCUUUAGAAGUAUUUGCCUAUUUCACAAUUAAUGCCACUACGAGUAAACACCUACUCCCUAACAACCUACCCUCGGAAGAAAACGAAAUUUGAAUAACAAAACACCAUCCGCAGCCACUCGUUUUCACAACUACUAACCUACCACCACCUCAGGCACGCUCACCACGAAUCCUUCGAGCCAGCUGAAUGUCUUUGGGCAUAAUAGUUACACGCUUAGCAUGAAUGGCACAUAGAUUGGUAUCCUCAAACAGUCCAACAAGGUAUGCCUCAGCCGCUUCCUGCAAUGCAAGCACC
This 335-nucleotide long non-coding RNA is filed under the name Phaseolus vulgaris (common bean). RNAcentral's name for it is "long non-coding RNA (PVUL_LNC005282)". The record is from RNAcentral. Lineage: Eukaryota; Viridiplantae; Streptophyta; Magnoliopsida; Fabales; Fabaceae.